CGUAGCUCAGUGGAUAGAGCAUCGGUUUCCUAAACCGCUGGUCGUAGGUUCGAAUCCUAUCG
Molecule: transfer RNA, 62 nt
Filed under: human gut metagenome
Rfam family: tRNA
About the family: Transfer RNA (tRNA) molecules are approximately 80 nucleotides in length. Their secondary structure includes four short double-helical elements and three loops (D, anti-codon, and T loops). Further hydrogen bonds mediate the characteristic L-shaped molecular structure. tRNAs have two regions of fundamental functional importance: the anti-codon, which is responsible for specific mRNA codon recognition, and the 3' end, to which the tRNAs corresponding amino acid is attached (by aminoacyl-tRNA synthetases). tRNAs cope with the degeneracy of the genetic code in two manners: having more than one tRNA (with a specific anti-codon) for a particular amino acid; and 'wobble' base-pairing, i.e. permitting non-standard base-pairing at the 3rd anti-codon position.
Source: RNAcentral